RNAcentral lists this ribosomal RNA (460 nucleotides) under uncultured bacterium. Its description in RNAcentral is "partial 16S ribosomal RNA". It matches the Rfam family "Bacterial small subunit ribosomal RNA", at positions 338 to 795 of the family's 1533-position model. The record is from RNAcentral.
CCUACGGGUGGCAGCAGUGAGGAAUAUUGGUCAAUGGGCGAGAGCCUGAACCAGCCAAGUCGCGUGAAGGAGGACGGCCCUACGGGUUGUAAACUUCUUUUGUCAGGGAGCAAUUGGUUCCACGCGUGGGCGUAGCGAGAGUACCUGAAGAAAAAGCAUCGGCGAACUCCGUGCCAGCAGCCGCGGUAAUACGGGGGAUGCGAGCGUUAUCCGGAUUUAUUGGGUUUAAAGGGUGCGUAGGCGGAAUAUCAGGUCAGCGGUAAAAAUUCGGGGCUCAACCCCGUCGUGCCGUUGAAACUGGUGUUCUUGAGUUGGAGAGAAGUAUGCGGAAUGCGCGGUGUAGCGGUGAAAUGCAUAGAUAUCACGCAGAACUCCGAUUGCGAAGGCAGCAUACCGGCGCCACACUGACGCUGAAGCACGAAAGCGUGGGUAUCGAACAGGAUUAGAUACCCUAGUAGUC